GGACUAUGCCGGAGCUUCCAGGUUGGUAAGUGCGAAGCAGGAAUCGGCAUCUUGAUUGGUAAAAUGGUUUGUGUAGAUGUGUUAUUCCUACAUGUGGAUAAAUGGUGUGAUUAUACUUACAAGUGGUAAAUCAGGGACAUUAAUUUGUACUUGAUUUCCUACAAGUGGUUGAACAAGAUGAUGAACCAGUCCCUACAAGUGGUUAAAACAAACUUAUUUUCUGGAAAAAUCAUUUUGAUUAAAACAAACUUAAGUGUUUUGAAAUCUUAAUGAGAAAAUAGUUUGUUGAAAGGGGGAGUUCUGAUUGUUUAUGCCUAGUGGAUGUUUGUUUUACAAAACUUGUUUUUCUACAAAGUGGAUCUAGAGCUUAGUUUGUUUUUCAAAUAUUUGUUAAAUGUGUUUGCAUUUUAGGGGGAGUAGAAAUUUCAGAAAAUCCAAAAACAUUUAGAAAAUUUGAAAAAGUAAAAAACAUGAUAAAAUCAAAAAACGAGUUUUGUUGUCAAAAAGAGGAAAUGAUAGUAUAUCAGUGGACUAUCACAACAUGCUAAAGAAAUGUAAGGUCAAAAAUGUAAUAAACAAUCUCACGGAUGAUGUGUCAGUAGGUUUUUGCACAUUUAGUAUAUUGUGACGAGAUAUAAAUCUAAAUUUCAAACUUGCUUAUUUUGUGGGUAACAUUUUCUUGGAUAUAUGGGUAACCCCCGAAAUCUUGUUUGAAAGGUCCCUCUUUCUGAGAUACUAGGUCUUUAUACUCAUUGAUAUCUGGGGUAUUAUUUCGGGACUUCUGCUGAAUGGAAAUUCUGACCUAGUCCCCGUAUAAUACUUUCUACAAAUGCUUGAAAUAUAGCAUCGCCCUCAGCAAAUUGAUGAAACAAUAAAAUUGAUAAUCAUUGCUGUUGUAAAAAGAUCCUCUAAAGGGGACACACCAAAAGUUGAAGCCGUCAUCUCUCUGCGUAUAUGGAAGUAUCGACCUGAGCUCUCACGGCCCUUGCAAUUAACCCAUUUACAGAUAUCAUCUGUGGUAUACUCACCUGUAAGACUGAAUAUUGGGAUCUGGGUACGGGAGUAUAUUCAAGUAGUGGGACAUGCGAAUAAGUUUAAGUGCUUAAGACAUUAAUAUCGUAUCUCGAAACAAUUGAACUUUGUGUGAGAAUUUAAAGUGGACCAAUAUACUGACAAUCUAGAUGAAUUGUUUAGAACUUAAAAUGAAAUGAAGCUUAACGGUGUUGGUGAUAUGUCUCAAAAACUGAUAUGAUCCUCUUACACAAACUCACAAAAAUAUUGUCUGUAAAUAUUUCUUUACUGCAUUACAUUUCUCUUAUCUUAAUAAUCCAAAAAGAUUUUCUGUGUGUUUUAGCAUAAAUUUUGAAAAACUCAAAAAGAUUUUUGACAACUGAUAUUCGAAAGCUGAUUUUCAAAGUUCCAAGUGCUAAACAUGAUGAUCAUGAAGUGAGGGGGAGUCUAUCUUUAAUGAAAUAUGUUUUUGUGUAAAUCAAACAAGUGGUUCAUCAUGCGUGUAGUGAGAGGGAGUCUGAGUUAGAGCAUUCAUCUCAUCUAUAUUUGAAAUGUGUAAGAUUUACUUUGAGGUAGAGAUUGUGCAGAUAACUUGAGCAGAACGUAAGCCAGGUUACGAUCUUGGAACCAGACUGAUUGAUCCUGAGAAGCUUGUGUUUAAAGAAGCCAGAUCACGAUACCUGAGGAUUCUGUGGAUAGAGCAUGAGCCAGGUUUUGAUUCUGUGGACAAAGUUUGAACCAUGGAAUGAUCUUGAAUAUGUGAAAACCAAGAUUCCGAUGCCUAAGAACAUUGAAUUAAAGAAUAGAGCUAGGUGAUCUUGGGAUAUGAUCCAGACAAGGAUCCUGAAGCAGAUGAUGCUGAUGAACUUAAGGAAUGCCAGCACAUUGUUAGGGAGAGUCUGUUGAUGCUGUUUGAAAGAGUGAAGCCCAGAGACUGAUCAAGAUUGAAGAUGCGAAGACUCGACACUGUAUGACUCGUCAACAUCUGAGGGGGAGUCUGUUAGUGCAUGCAUCUGUCGAUUUCGUCUUGUAUCGAGUCUUAGUCUAGAUAGGUUAGAUCAGGGCACGUUUUAUGAGGAAAUAGUAAAGUUUAGUGUGAUUCAAGCUGAUUCCGCUUGAAAGUGCUCAUGGCAGUUUCAAGCGAAAUCAUAAGACUUGAUUCCGCUUGAGUGUGCAUGUGUACAGGUUUCGCUUGAAAGGUAUUCCGCUUGAACUGUUUCAAGCGGAAUCAGAGUAGUAUAUAUAUGGGUCCAAGCGAAAUCAUUGUAACGGUUCUUGAAUUCCAUACCGAGGUACUGCCGGUGUGAGAUUUGGAUGUAAUCACUGUGACAACUCGAGUUUCUGACUUUCACUUUCGCAUUAAAUGCGCGUUGACUUUGACUGUU
RNAcentral lists this long non-coding RNA (2396 nucleotides) under Helianthus annuus (common sunflower). RNAcentral's name for it is "hypothetical non coding rna". The record is from RNAcentral. Lineage: Eukaryota; Viridiplantae; Streptophyta; Magnoliopsida; Asterales; Asteraceae.